Long non-coding RNA from Cyprinodon variegatus (sheepshead minnow), 684 nucleotides. RefSeq lists it as uncharacterized. NCBI's taxonomy places the organism in Eukaryota, Metazoa, Chordata, Actinopteri, Cyprinodontiformes, Cyprinodontidae. The record is from RefSeq and is a predicted model, not a curated record. The transcript has 4 exons.
CUGCUGCUCUCUGGUACAGUUCCUCCUCUCACAUGUCAGUGAGGGGAAGUGCUUAGUUUUCUGCUCGUAAUAAAGAGUAUUUUGAAGAGGAGGCUGCAGGAUAGACAAACUUCCUCCUCUGCACUACCUGCACUUCUACCUCCAGGGGAGCAGACAGACCAAGUUCAGAUGCAGCCAGCAGGGAGCUGGAGAGAAGACAGAGAGACGGGCUGAGAGCUGCUCCACUUCCUGCACUGCACAGGAGCUGCUGCACAGCAGAUGUGGGGCAACAGGGAACCAAAGACAGUGAUCUUAAAAAGCCAUGAGGAAUUCGGCUCCUGAUGAAGGACAUGUCAGCAGCACAGUCCAGAUGAUCAGACGGGAUGAGAACAUGUUGAAACGGUCCAGGAACCCGAGACGGAUUAAAAAAUGACAGCAAGUCUUAGCUGCCCUAUGAACACACACACACACACACACACACACACUGAUCGCACUUUAAAUAAACACGCUGGUUUCCAGGAAUGUCUGUGAAAUUCUCUCAUGUCAAUAAAAUACUUCCAAACUUCUGGUGUCUUAUUUCUUUAAUAAAUCAAUCAACAUUCAACCCAAAAUUCAUAAAGUUUUUACAGUUUUGCUCUUUUUCAUUAUUUGAUUCAACCGUUAUUAUUAUAUUAUCAGUUUGUUUGUUUCUAUAUGAAGAUUAAA